AGAGUUUGAUCCUGGCUCAGGACGAACGCUGGCGGCGUGCCUAACACAUGCAAGUCGAGCGAGUAGAUUUCCUUCGGGAAUGAAGCUAGCGGCGGACGGGUGAGUAACACGUGGGCAACCUGCCUCAUAGAGGGGAAUAGCCUCCCGAAAGGGAGAUUAAUACCGCAUAAGAUUGUAGCUUCGCAUGAAGUAGCAAUUAAAGGAGCAAUCCGCUAUGAGAUGGGCCCGCGGCGCAUUAGCUAGUUGGUGAGGUAACGGCUCACCAAGGCGACGAUGCGUAGCCGACCUGAGAGGGUGAUCGGCCACAUUGGGACUGAGACACGGCCCAGACUCCUACGGGAGGCAGCAGUGGGGAAUAUUGCACAAUGGGGGAAACCCUGAUGCAGCAACGCCGCGUGAGUGAUGACGGCCUUCGGGUUGUAAAGCUCUGUCUUCAGGGACGAUAAUGACGGUACCUGAGGAGGAAGCCACGGCUAACUACGUGCCAGCAGCCGCGGUAAUACGUAGGUGGCGAGCGUUGUCCGGAUUUACUGGGCGUAAAGGGAGCGUAGGCGGACUUUUAAGUGAGAUGUGAAAUACCCCGGGCUCAACUUGGGUGCUGCAUUUCAAACUGGAAGUCUAGAGUGCAGGAGAGGAGAAUGGAAUUCCUAGUGGUAGCGGUGAAAUGCGUA
Molecule: ribosomal RNA, 671 nt
Filed under: uncultured bacterium
Lineage: Bacteria
Description: bacterial SSU rRNA
Rfam family: Bacterial small subunit ribosomal RNA
Source: RNAcentral